This 448-nucleotide ribosomal RNA is filed under the name uncultured bacterium. Its description in RNAcentral is "SSU rRNA". It matches the Rfam family "Bacterial small subunit ribosomal RNA", at positions 26 to 518 of the family's 1533-position model. The record is from RNAcentral.
AGAGCGAACGCUGGCGGCAGGCUUAACACAUGCAAGUCGAGCGGGCGUAGCAAUACGUCAGCGGCAGACGGGUGAGUAACGCGUGGGAACGUACCUUUUGGUUCGGAACAACCCAGGGAAACUUGGGCUAAUACCGGAUAAGCCCUUACGGGGAAAGAUUUAUCGCCGAAAGAUCGGCCCGCGUCUGAUUAGCUAGUUGGUGAGGUAAUGGCUCACCAAGGCGACGAUCAGUAGCUGGUCUGAGAGGAUGAUCAGCCACAUUGGGACUGAGACACGGCCCAAACUCCUACGGGAGGCAGCAGUGGGGAAUAUUGGACAAUGGGCGCAAGCCUGAUCCAGCCAUGCCGCGUGAGUGAUGAAGGCCCUAGGGUUGUAAAGCUCUUUUGUGCGGGAAGAUAAUGACGGUACCGCAAGAAUAAGCCCAGGCUAACUUCGCGCCAGCAGCCGC